Jaculus jaculus (lesser Egyptian jerboa) is the source of this 211-nucleotide small nucleolar RNA. Its record names the gene U3. It matches the Rfam family "Small nucleolar RNA U3". From Rfam's summary of the family: Small nucleolar RNAs (snoRNAs) are involved in the processing and modification of rRNA in the nucleolus. There are two main classes of snoRNAs: the box C/D class, and the box H/ACA class. U3 snoRNA is a member of the box C/D class. The record is from Ensembl. NCBI's taxonomy places the organism in Eukaryota, Metazoa, Chordata, Mammalia, Rodentia, Dipodidae.
AAGACUAUGUUUCAGGGAACAUUUCUAUAGUCCAUUACUAGAGAGGUUUUCUGACUGUGUAGAGUAUGGGAAGCCAAGGGGUGGGCUUACUGUCUUCCCUUGAGCAUGAAGCCAGCUCUUGGUGCUGCUUUGCUGCAACUGCCACCUGUCAUUGAUGAUAGUUCUUGUUCUCCUUGGGGGAGCUGGAGGGAGAGGACACAGUCUGAAAAAU